Molecule: ribosomal RNA, 273 nt
Filed under: uncultured Desulfobacterium sp.
Lineage: Bacteria; Pseudomonadati; Thermodesulfobacteriota; Desulfobacteria; Desulfobacterales; Desulfobacteriaceae
Description: partial 16S ribosomal RNA
Rfam family: Bacterial small subunit ribosomal RNA
Source: RNAcentral
CUCUAGUUGCCAGCGAUUCGGUCGGGGACUCUAGAGAUACUGCCCCGGUUAACGGGGAGGAAGGUGGGGAUGACGUCAAGUCCUCAUGGCCCUUAUGCCCAGGGCUACACACGUGCUACAAUGGGCGGUACAAAGGGUAGCGAUGCCGCGAGGUGAAGCCAAUCCCAAAAAGCCGUCCACAGUUCGGAUUGGAGUCUGCAACUCGACUCCAUGAAGCCGGAAUCGCUAGUAAUCGCGGAUCAGCAUGCCGCGGUGAAUACGUUCCCGGGCCUU